CGGGCGUUAAGUUGCAGGGUAUAGACCCGAAACCCGGUGAUCUAGCCAUGGGCAGGUUGAAGGUUGGGUAACACUAACUGGAGGACCGAACCGACUAAUGUUGAAAAAUUAGCGGAUGACCUGUGGCUGGGGGUGAAAGGCCAAUCAAACCGGGAGAUAGCUGGUUCUCCCCGAAAGCUAUUUAGGUAGCGCCUCGUGAAUUCAUCUCCGGGGGUAGAGCACUGUUUCGGCUAGGGGGCCAUCCCGGCUUACCAACCCGAUGCAAACUGCGAAUACCGGAGAAUGUUAUCACGGGAGACACACGGCGGGUGCUAACGUCCGUCGUGAAGAGGGAAACAACCCAGACCGCCAGCUAAGGUCCCAAAGUCAUGGUUAAGUGGGAAACGAUGUGGGAAGGCCCAGACAGCCAGGAUGUUGGCUUAGAAGCAGCCAUCAUUUAAAGAAAGCGUAAUAGCUCACUGGUCGAGUCGGCCUGCGCGGAAGAUGUAACGGGGCUAAACCAUGCACCGAAGCUGCGGCAGCGACGCUUAUGCGUUGUUGGGUAGGGGAGCGUUCUGUAAGCCGUUGAAGGUGGCCUGUGAGGGUUGCUGGAGGUAUCAGAAGUGCGAAUGCUGACAUAAGUAACGAUAAAGCGGGUGAAAAGCCCGCUCGCCGGAAGACCAAGGGUUCCUGUCCAACGUUAAUCGGGGCAGGGUGAGUCGACCCCUAAGGCGAGGCCGAAAGGCGUAGUCGAUGGGAAACGGGUUAAUAUUCCCGUACUUGGUGUUACUGCGAAGGGGGGACGGAGAAGGCUAUGUUGGCCGGGCGACGGUUGUCCCGGUUUAAGCGUGUAGGCUGGUUUUCCAGGCAAAUCCGGAAAAUCAAGGCUGAGGCGUGACGACGA
This 883-nucleotide ribosomal RNA is filed under the name Salmonella enterica subsp. enterica serovar Abony. Its description in RNAcentral is "partial 23S ribosomal RNA". It matches the Rfam family "Bacterial large subunit ribosomal RNA", at positions 689 to 1572 of the family's 2925-position model. Lineage: Bacteria; Pseudomonadati; Pseudomonadota; Gammaproteobacteria; Enterobacterales; Enterobacteriaceae. The record is from RNAcentral.